UUAGCUCAUAUUUGUAUGGAAUGGGAUUGUGUGCGUAUGUUUGCCGCUAGGGGCGCUGUUCCAACUGCAUACAAAAUUGGGUUA
Non-coding RNA from Bombyx mori (domestic silkworm), 84 nucleotides. The record is from Rfam. NCBI's taxonomy places the organism in Eukaryota, Metazoa, Arthropoda, Insecta, Lepidoptera, Bombycidae.